Papaver somniferum (opium poppy) is the source of this 1126-nucleotide long non-coding RNA. RefSeq lists it as uncharacterized. Lineage: Eukaryota; Viridiplantae; Streptophyta; Magnoliopsida; Ranunculales; Papaveraceae. The record is from RefSeq and is a predicted model, not a curated record. The transcript is spliced from 2 exons.
GGGAAGCAAAAGGUCUAUCAAAUGUAAAUGCAACAAAAUGCAAUUGUUCAAAUUGCUCAAUGAGAGGAAAUAUUAAUUUCACAAUCCCUUCUAAGAAUUUCAAAUUACUUGAGAAAACUCAAGAUUUUAUCACAACUUAUACUUUUGGCACUCAUACUGCUAAACACACUUUUUGUAAAAUAUGUGGGAUAACUUCAUUUUAUGUUCCAAGGUCUGAUCCUGAUGGGGUGGCUUUGACUGUUAAUUGUGUUGAUCCGGGUACACUGAAGCAUAUUGAAAUUAAGCUUGUUGAUGGUAAAAACUGGGAGAAAAUUUUUGGUGAUGGUGCUCACCAUGAAGUAAAACAUUGAUCUGAAUAUGUUGGUAGUCAAUGGAAUCUAAAGGCGGAGACUAGAGAGUCCAAAAAGAAAAGAAAAAUUGGUCAGUGCAAAAAUUAGUCUAAGCAUUUCUUUUACUAAUAUUCCAAUAGCAAAAGAAAGAGUUGACAGAAAAAAUCACCAAGGGGAGGGGAAAGAUUAGAAGAACCUUGAACAAGAGAUAGAGAAACAGGUGACUGAGGAAUGAAUUCGAAUACGCCAAUAACACACAAAGGAGGAUGUCACUGCCAAAGCGUAAGAUGGGAAGUGGAAGCUCCAUCAAGCAUUACAGUUUGGAAAUGCAACUGUAGUGAUUGUUCAAUGAGAGGUAACACUCACUUCAUAGUCCCAUCUACACAGUUCAAGCUAGUUGGAGAUUCUGAAAAGUUCAUCACUACUUACACCUUUGGCACACAUACUGCAAAGCAUACAUUCUGUAAUGUUUGUGGCAUAACAUCGUUCUACACUCCAAGGUCCAACCCAGAUGGCAUAGCUGUUACAAUCAAUUGUGUUGAUCCUGGAACAGUGACCCAUGUCGAGAUUAAGCCAUUUGAUGGCAGAAAUUGGGACAGGUCUUAUCAUCAAACCUCUAUUGCUUUGUGUUCUAAAUUGCAGAACUAAAACAAGGGUUUCAAGUAUAUCCACAAGUUCUGCUUUAAGGUCAUCAAAUUGUUGUUGAACUUAUGUGACUUUUAAGCUGUAAUUGUUUAGUCUUUUAAAGAACUCUUUUGACUUUCAUAACCUGUUAAUAUAGAUUGUUUCUCGGCUUA